This is a long non-coding RNA of Ochotona princeps (American pika), 450 nucleotides long. RefSeq lists it as uncharacterized. The record is from RefSeq and is a predicted model, not a curated record. NCBI's taxonomy places the organism in Eukaryota, Metazoa, Chordata, Mammalia, Lagomorpha, Ochotonidae. The transcript is spliced from 3 exons.
GUUUGAGUGCAGCAGUCAGGUUAGGCUUCAUUGAGAAGGCUCCAUGGAAAGUGGGGCUCAAAGGAGGUAAGGGACUUAGCCACACAAACACGUAGGGGAAGGCAGUUCCACUUGGAAGGCUCCCCAAGAAAACAGGGUCGCCAUCUGCUGGAUUGAUAUCAAAUUACAGGAGCAUGUGAAGGGGGAGUUGGAGACAAUUCAGUUAGAACCCAAACAGAACCUUCCACUGGAGGUUUGGAACAUGUGACUUAACUGCUCUAGCUUCUGUUUCCUCAUCUGAUUGGAUCUCAGGGAGGGUGUCAAGAGCCCAGAUGCUGAUGAAAAAUGGAGGCUCAGCACAUUAUGCGAGUUGCUCACUGUCCUAUAGCACAGAACAUGCCAGAAAGAGACCCUGACCCCUGAUGCCUAGCCACUAAGCCACAGACAUUGACAGAUGAUCUGCUCAAUGUG